Molecule: small nuclear RNA, 107 nt
Filed under: Octodon degus (degu)
Lineage: Eukaryota; Metazoa; Chordata; Mammalia; Rodentia; Octodontidae
Source: RNAcentral
GUGCUCCCUUCAGCAGCAAAUAUACUAAAAUUGGAACGAUACAGAGAAGAUUAGCAUGGCCCCUGCACAAGGAUGACACGCAAAUUCGUGAAGCAUUCCAUAUUUUU